Molecule: long non-coding RNA, 308 nt
Filed under: Sorghum bicolor (sorghum)
Lineage: Eukaryota; Viridiplantae; Streptophyta; Magnoliopsida; Poales; Poaceae
Description: long non-coding RNA (SBIC_LNC002095)
Source: RNAcentral
UAUACAUGUAUGAAGUACUAAAUGUAGACUAUUCACGAAACUAAAAACACAGGUAGAGAGUAAUUUGUGAGACAAAUCUUUUGAGCCUAAUUAAUCUAUGAUUGGACACUAAUUGUUAAAUAAAACAAAAAUGGUACAUAAAUUUUAAUAACCCCGACCAAACACCCCCUAAGAGCAUCCCAAAAGCGAGCAGAACUCCCCGGCUGACGUGGUGACAUAAAACAAUAAAAAAGGAAGAAAGUUGGACAGACACUGAGAAGAUUUGGGAAAUGUGCGAGCUAGAAGACUCAGCACUUAGCUAGUGCGUU